GUGAGGAAUUUUCCGCAAUGGGCGAAAGCCUGACGGAGCAAUGCCGCGUGAAGGAUGAAGGCCUAUGGGUUGUAAACUUCUUUUCUCAGAAAAGAAUUAUGACGGUAUCUGAGGAAUAAGCAUCGGCUAACUCUGUGCCAGCAGCCGCGGUAAGACAGAGGAUGCAAGCGUUAUCCGGAAUGAUUGGGCGUAAAGCGUCUGUAGGUUGUUUAAAAAGUAUUCUGUCAAAGAUUAGGGCUUAACCCUAGAUAGGCAGAAUAAACUUUUAAGCUAGAGUUUGGUAGAGGCAGAGGGAAUUCCCGGUGGAGCGGUGAAAUGCGUAGAUAUCGGGAGGAACACCAAAGGCGAAGGCACUCUGCUGGGCCAAUACUAACACUGAGAGACGAAAGCGAGGGGAGCAAAUGGGAUUAGAAACCCUGUAGUCC
RNAcentral lists this ribosomal RNA (425 nucleotides) under uncultured bacterium. RNAcentral describes it as "bacterial SSU rRNA". It matches the Rfam family "Bacterial small subunit ribosomal RNA", at positions 354 to 796 of the family's 1533-position model. The record is from RNAcentral.